UCUCAUUUUCUUUUCUAUAUUAUUGUCAAGUUCCGACUGACUUAUGCAUCGAAGGAUCCCUUCUCGGAGCAACUCCGACGAAAAUGGACUUCUUAGUUUUCUCUUUGGUAUUUUGAUUCUCAAACAGCGGCCAACUUCAAUCAUACCAGUAUUCGGUCAGAGUCUUGCAACAACAGAAUUAUUGACACCGAUGAAGGUGGCACUCGAAGCAGUCAUUGUGCC
Molecule: long non-coding RNA, 222 nt
Filed under: Elaeis guineensis (African oil palm)
Lineage: Eukaryota; Viridiplantae; Streptophyta; Magnoliopsida; Arecales; Arecaceae
Description: long non-coding RNA (EGUI_LNC022467)
Source: RNAcentral